AUACUCUGGUUUCUCUGCAGAUCGGAUAAAUAGUUUGCCUUUUACUAAAGAUUUCUGUGGAGAGGAACAACCGUGAGUUUCAUGUCAUUUUUUGUUGCCUGGCUAACACUGGGCU
Molecule: small nuclear RNA, 115 nt
Organism: Pseudophryne corroboree (corroboree frog)
Lineage: Eukaryota; Metazoa; Chordata; Amphibia; Anura; Myobatrachidae
Product: U5 spliceosomal RNA
Exons: 1
Source: RefSeq, a predicted model, not a curated record